AAUUUAUUUUUUAAUCUAUUUCAUUUUAAUGUUUAAUGGAGUCGCGACACAGUGUCCAUGUCACGUGAGCGCGCACAUAAAAAGAAUUGAAAAGACAAGACAAAAA
This 106-nucleotide non-coding RNA is filed under the name Platyophrya macrostoma. Lineage: Eukaryota; Ciliophora; Colpodea; Cyrtolophosidida; Platyophryidae. The record is from RNAcentral.